This is an RNA transcript of Rhincodon typus (whale shark), 2351 nucleotides long. It is a transcript of the gene named testis-expressed protein 33, with no coding region annotated. The transcript has 9 exons. Lineage: Eukaryota; Metazoa; Chordata; Chondrichthyes; Orectolobiformes; Rhincodontidae. The record is from RefSeq and is a predicted model, not a curated record.
GAAGGAAUGUGGAAUCGCUGGCAACAACUUCCACUUUUUCUCCGUUACUGUGCACAUACGCUGCAUCCCGAAGUCGCUGUCAGUCUAUGACCGUUAACGCUAACGCGAUAUCACCACAAAAUAAGGGCUAUCAAAUUGUCAGCGUGUCGCAAUUCUUCUACAGCCUCUCUCUCUGCCACGAAAUGUUUAUGUUUGGGAUUCCCUGGUCUUUGAUCCGGAAAAGUUCCCCAGAGCGAAUCUAGCUGAAAGAUUUGAAACAAAUACACAAAAUUGCUCAAGAAACUCAGCAGCAUCCGUGAUUUCCAGAAGCGCACUACGUUGCUCUGAUUCCAGUUGUAAACGCUUAAGGUCCAUCUUUUACCCGAAAAAGUUCCUGAUUAUAUCUUUAAGAUUUGGCGUUAAAGUGCUAGAGGGAGAAUGGAAAAAAAAACGGAAAAUGUCGGAGAAUGCCAGCAGGGAUUGACAAAUCUGUUCUUGGCGUUAACAAUAACUACAUACAGUUCCAAUUGUCACCGAGAAGGGCGUCCUAUUUUAACGUUGUUUCCAUUCCGCUGGUUGCUACACUUCAAUCGAAUGUUUAUUAUUGUUGUUGCCUGGCAACGUUCGAUACAUUCGAACAACACAUGAUGAGUUACGACACUGUUGGUUGGUGGAACUCAUACAGAGACCGUCCUGAUUGGCAGUGUGAAGAGCUUGUGACUCCAGCCCCUGCCAUCACUGGAAGUUGCAAUGGAUCCUGAGUGUGCUCAGUUUCAAGUUUCGGAAACGGCUGAAAUUGUAGAUCAGCUGACAAAACCCGAAACUGUAGUGACUGGAGGUCAGAGGUAUCCUGGUCGAUCCCUCUUUGGUACUACGUUGGAUAGCAAAGGUUUCUACAAAGGGUUAUCAGAAGAAGAACAAAAUGUUGCCGCUGUGCCAAGUGAUGCACAGCCAGGUCAUCAGUUGGAACAGCACAGGUGCAAGACUGAAUCCGUAAACAUUCCUAAAUCUGGGAAUUGCCUAGAUUUUUCGAGAAUGACAAGCCCAAAAUCAGGAAGUGCCAGUGGCACCAAACAGGACGUCAGAGACUGCAGCUCUGAACCAAAGAGAUCUCACAAAACAUCUCUCGAUGGAAGAAUCACUGGGAAACAAAUUGACAGAGAGAGAUCCUCUGUGUGCAGCACACCAAGUGCAAUGACCAAUGGCUUACAGUCACCAUCGUCUGAGGCUCUGGGACAGCCCCCCAGUCAAGAAGUCAAGUGUGUAAUUCCCCAAAAUAUUAAGCAUAAGUUUAGAACCGAUAUUGUGGAUGAGCUGCUAACGGAUGACGAGGUUAAGGAGUUCUUGAAUAAGAAAGAGAUGCCAGCAAAGAGCUUGGAUUCAGAGGUUCCCUUGGUACAGUCACAGGAGCAACCCACUGAUGAAAUAACUUGGUAUGAAAAAAUAGGCUACCCUCUCCGAUGCAACAUCUUUCCAGGUUUCUCGGAUAAAUGGCAGAGCGAGGUACAAUCUACCUACACGAAGGAGGUGCAUCACCGUUUCAGGCGUAGCCCAGACCACUGGCAUGGUAGAACGACGGAUCAUUUGGUUUUGGUUAAAGAACAAAUGUUAAAAUGAACAUCAAGAUCCUUAUUCAUCGAAUUGUGUCUGGGGAUUUUUACUUCCGUGUGAGAGGGCAGAUGGAACCUUUAAUUUAAUGACGCAUCUCAAACGUGCCAUCUCCAACAAUGCAGCGAUCCUGGGAAGGGUCAGCCUUGGAUUUUUGUGCUCCAUUCUCCAGAGUGGGAUGUGAAUCCGUGAUCUUCUGACACCGAGGCAAAAAGUGUUACCAACUGAGCCACCUCUGACACUAAGUGAGUGGCACUGCAGGGAGAAUCUUUAUCGAGCAGUUAUGUGGCAAUUGUUUGGGAUAGGGAGAGAAAUUGGACAAUUGUUCGGGUCAUUUUCCUUAUUCUGCUGUUUAAAGGUGUCUGACUACCGAGCUCCUUGCCUGCGAAAGGCUGUCAAGGAACCUCCAGUAGUGUAUCAAAGAGCAGCUGAAAUUAACCAGGAGCUGGCCUAGGGUUAUCUCAGCAGUUUAAGUGGGCAAAAUCACUGUUACCACAGCCUAAGCCACCCAAAUCACUGAAGAGAGUCAUAACCGAACUGAAGAAAAUUGCCCAAAAGCCAGAAAUGAUGCUGCAAAGCCUGCGAAUGCAGUGCCAAUGGAAUCUUGGAGACAAACUGCAACAGCAAUAAGGCUUUGGUCAAAUGUUAAAAGAGUACUUCCACGAAACGGGCAAGAGCAUCAAUAACAAGAGGACACCAAUUUCGGAUACUGUAAUUAGCAAAGAUGAAAUAAUGAGGAAGAUUUAAGAGAGUCUCUUUAAUUU